CAGCCGCCGCGGUAAUACGAGGGGAGCUAGCGUUAUUCGGAAUUACUGGGCGUAAAGCGCACGUAGGCGGCUUUGUAAGUUAGAGGUGAAAGCCCAGAGCUCAACUCUGGAAUUGCCUUUAAGACUGUAUCGCUUGAAUCCAGGAGAGGUGAGUGGAAUUCCGAGUGUAGAGGUGAAAUUCGUAGAUAUUCGGAAGAACACCAGUGGCGAAGGCGGCUCACUGGACUGGUAUUGACGCUGAGGUGCGAAAGCGUGGGGAGCAAACAGGAUUAGAUACCCCUGUAGUCCCUGUCUCUUAUAC
This 301-nucleotide ribosomal RNA is filed under the name uncultured bacterium. Its description in RNAcentral is "partial 16S ribosomal RNA". It matches the Rfam family "Bacterial small subunit ribosomal RNA", at positions 509 to 807 of the family's 1533-position model. The record is from RNAcentral.